This 456-nucleotide non-coding RNA is filed under the name Lacrimispora celerecrescens. RNAcentral's name for it is "bacterial LSU rRNA". It matches the Rfam family "Bacterial large subunit ribosomal RNA", at positions 2465 to 2925 of the family's 2925-position model. The record is from RNAcentral. Lineage: Bacteria; Bacillati; Bacillota; Clostridia; Lachnospirales; Lachnospiraceae.
ACCCUGGGGAUAACAGGCUUAUCACUCCCAAGAGUUCACAUCGACGGAGUGGUUUGGCACCUCGAUGUCGGCUCAUCGCAUCCUGGGGCUGUAGUAGGUCCCAAGGGUUGGGCUGUUCGCCCAUUAAAGCGGUACGCGAGCUGGGUUCAGAACGUCGUGAGACAGUUCGGUCCCUAUCCGGCGUGGGCGUAGGAUAUUUGAGAGGAGCUGUCCUUAGUACGAGAGGACCGGGAUGGACUGACCUCUGGUAUAUCUGUUGGCUAUCAAAGCCAUGGCAGAGUAGCCAAGUCGGGAAGGGAUAAACGCUGAAGGCAUCUAAGCGUGAAGCCCCCCUCAAGAUGAGAUAUCCCAUCGCAAGAGUAAGACCCCUUGAAGACGACGAGGUAGAUAGGGCAGAGGUGGAAGCAUGGCAACAUGUGCAGCUGACUGUCACUAAUAGGUCGAGGGCUUAACCAG